This 1111-nucleotide ribosomal RNA is filed under the name human gut metagenome. RNAcentral describes it as "bacterial LSU rRNA". It matches the Rfam family "Bacterial large subunit ribosomal RNA", at positions 1289 to 2480 of the family's 2925-position model. The record is from RNAcentral.
UGAGAAUGCCGGAAUGAGUAGCGAGAAUUAUGUGAGAAUCAUAAUGGCCGAAAGUCUAAGGUUUCCUGAGGAAGGUUCGUCCUCUCAGGGUUAGCCGGGAGCUAAGGUGAGGCGGAAACGCGUAGCCGAUGCACAUACGGUAGAAAUUCCGUAGCCUCCGAAGAUUUAAGCACAGGGACACUUUUGAAGGGCUGAGCCGGGCGUUGGUUGCCCCGGUCGAAAGGGACACGAGUGAGUGGAAGUCAGUUUGGAAAGAGGCGAGAAAAGCUGUGUGUAUAUGGAAGGAGCCCGUACCGCAAACCGACACAGGUAGACAGGAAGAAGAUUCUAAGGCCAGCGGGAGAAGGGUUGUUAAGGAACUCGGCAAGUUGACCCCGUAACUUCGGGAGAAGGGGUGCUUACGAAGGUAAGCCGCAGAGAAUAGGCCCAAGCGACUGUUUAGCAAAAACACAGCUCUAUGCUAAAUCGAAAGAUGACGUAUAUGGGGUGACACCUGCCCGGUGCUGGAAGGUUAAGAGGAGAUGUGAGAGCAUUGAAUUGAAGCCCCAGUAAACGGCGGCCGUAACUAUAACGGUCCUAAGGUAGCGAAAUUCCUUGUCAGGUAAGUUCUGACCCGCACGAAUGGUGUAACGAUCUGGACACUGUCUCAACAACCCGCCCGGCGAAAUUGUAGUACCGGUGAAGAUGCCGGUUACCCGCGACUAGACGGAAAGACCCCAUGGAGCUUCACUGCAGCUUAAUAUUGGAUUUCGGUAUUUCAUGUACAGGAUAGGUGGGAGACUGGGAAAUACAGGCGUCAGCUUGUAUGGAGUCAUUGUUGGGAUACCACUCUUGAGGUGCUGGAAUUCUAACCUGUGGCCUUGAAUCAGGUCAGGGGACAUUGUUAGGCGGGCAGUUUGACUGGGGCGGUCGCCUCCUAAAAGGUAACGGAGGCGCUCAAAGGUUCGCUCAGCAUGGACGGAAACCAUGCCAGAGAGUGCAAACGCAUAAGCGAGCCUAACUGCGAGACUGACGGGUCGAGCAGUAACGAAAGUUGGAGUUAGUGAUCCGGCGGUAUAUGUGAGUGGAAAUGCCGUCGCUCAACGGAUAAAAGCUACCCUGGGGAUAACAG